AGAGUUUGAUCAUGGCUCAGGACGAACGCUGGCGGCGUGCUUAACACAUGCAAGUCGAACGAGAUCCAACGCGUGGCAACACUCGGGAAGAUCUAGUGGCGAACGGGUGCGUAACACGUGAGAAACCCACCCCGAACUCUGGGAUAACAGGUGGAAACGCCUGCUAAUACCGGAUACCUCCGCCGAGUCGCAUGGCUUGGCGUAGAAAGGUCCGCCGGUUCGGGACGGUCUCGCGGCCUAUCAGCUUGUUGGUGGGGUAACGGCCUACCAAGGCAUCGACGGGUAGCUGGUCUGAGAGGAUGAUCAGCCACACUGGGACUGAGACACGGCCCAGACUCCUACGGGAGGCAGCAGUGGGGAAUCUUGCCCAAUGGGCGCAAGCCUGAGGCAGCAACGCCGCGUGCGGGAAGAAGGCCCUCGGGUUGUAAACCGCUUUCAGCAGGAACGAAAAUGACGGUACCUGCAGAAGAAGGUGCGGCCAACUACGUGCCAGCAGCCGCGGUA
Molecule: ribosomal RNA, 504 nt
Filed under: uncultured Actinomycetes bacterium
Lineage: Bacteria; Bacillati; Actinomycetota; Actinomycetes
Description: bacterial SSU rRNA
Rfam family: Bacterial small subunit ribosomal RNA
Source: RNAcentral